CAGUUAGCACAUUCAGAGGUUAAACAUAAACCAGAAACCAACACUGACUAUCAUUAAGCAUUCCUGUGUCAAAUACCUUACUGAAGCAAAAUGAUAAAAGCUCAGCAACUCAUUCUUGGCAGACAAAACUGGACUAUAUAAGAACUCAUGAAAAUUAAAGAGGAGACACCCAGAGGACAAAAAUAGGGGUUGAAACCUGCUGAACAUUGGCUCACCAGUUCAACAAAACCAAAUGUGAUCCAGCUUAAGUGAGAUUCACUUCAUCUGAGGAAGUACAAAGAAGAAAACUUCAGAUACUGUCAUGUGAAGGAAAUCUCUUGGUCAUGCUACCUCCAGAAGGCCUUGGAAGGUCUUGGAUCUUUUAACUACAAAAGGUCCAUGAGGAAGACGCCUGACCAGAGAGUCUCUCAUGCAAGGAAAUCUUCUGAUGACGUAGAGCUUGAACAACACAAAUGGAAUGCUGAGGAAGCAUGCACCAUUUUGUAAGGAGCAGUCCCCUUGCACCAGUGGGAGUGGGAUAGAAAAACUUCACAGAGUCCAAGGCAGGAACUCCACACACCAGAAAAUUGCACAGCUGCUGAAUGAAUGUUUAAGAAGGCUUUAUACAAGGUCAUUGAACACGUGCGUAUUUUAGAUAGAGUGUAUACAGACUCAUCCUAUUUUAAUAAUUAUCUGUAUCUCUUAUUAAAAUGCUUGCUUUCUUAUUUCUGCAUUCUCAUGUCCUAUUUUAUAUUCAUGACAAUAUAAGGCCGUAAUUUUCUUCAAAUUCUCUGUCCGUAGUUUCUGGCAUUUGUGUCCUAUGGUGACAGGUUUAUACAUUCCUGCUUUAUAGGUGAAUCUUGCCAAGCUUUUCUUGACUUACUUUCCAUUUAUUCUUUCCACUGGCAUCUGAAAAAACUCUGAUGCACUAUCCUAUAAGUUACCUCUUACAUCACAGUUUUGAGAUGAGAAACAUUUCCUUGCCCUGUGUGUCCCCUAAAAUAUGAAUUAUUCGACUGCUAUACUUAAAAACAUUAUCUGUAUUUUUAGUUCACAGUGCAUUAAAUGCUGCCAUAACAUUGAUCAAUUGACUAUUGUGCUGUCCUCGAAACUGUACAGGAACCAGAUUUCAGCUACAGACAGAACUGCAACCUUGAGUAUGCUGCUUCUGUAUGAUAGCACAAAAGAAAACCAUUAUAAAGUAAAUCUCUGUGUAAAAUAAUAAA
Dromaius novaehollandiae (emu) is the source of this 1205-nucleotide long non-coding RNA. RefSeq lists it as uncharacterized. The transcript has 4 exons. The record is from RefSeq and is a predicted model, not a curated record. NCBI's taxonomy places the organism in Eukaryota, Metazoa, Chordata, Aves, Casuariiformes, Dromaiidae.